UAAAUCUACAUUUUUGCCUUGAACUUCCUUCAAUUUCUAGAAUUCUUCUCUCUCUUUAUCUUCCAUUUUCUUCUUCUUUUCUCAUUUAUGCUUACCCUUUGUAUUCCCAAAUCUUCCCUUUUACUUUUCGAAGAUUUCAUCACCAACCCACAUAAACCCUUUAUAUCUCACCUUCCCCCUCUCAUUCUCUGCCUGUAAUAUCUCAGAUCAGGGGCAAAAAACCCACAAAAAUCUGUUCUUUGGUUUUUUCGUUUCUGGGUUUUGGUUAAAUUAUGUUGCAGCUGUUCUUUACAGUGGCUUUCUCUGCAGUGCCUUUGACUCUUUAUAUACCACCAGUUAGGAGCUUGAAUCAUUUUGUGGAGACCAUGGAAGAUCUGUACAGGGAGUCUAGAGAAUAUACUAAUAGAGUUUAUCCACGUGCAAGGCACUUUUGGUCUAGGUUCUUGGAUCUCUUGCUCUGCAAUUUGAGGUUAGAUUAAUUAGGAAGGAUCUCUUCAGUAUACAUUCUCUUUUUUCUUCUUCUCUUUGGUUUAAAUUUGAUGGUUGAUUCCUGGGUAUCUGUGUCCGGAGUUGUUUGUUUUUCUUGGUUGUGUAAUUUUCUUGUUAUUGCGGGCUUAUAUUUCUGCAGAAAUCUGUGAGCUUUGCCUGCAGAGUGGAGAUGUUAUUGUAUCAAUAAAGGAUAGUAUUUUCUCUCUCUAUAGAAUUCCAUUUGAAAUUAGGAGUUUGCAGAGAUCAGAUUUGAUUUUAGGAGAUGAAUGAACAUGAUGCAGAAUUUUAAAACUUUAGAUUUUUUUUUUUUCAUACAGUUUUAGUUUUGGUAUUUCUGCCUCAAUAUUGGCC
This 840-nucleotide unclassified non-coding RNA is filed under the name Hevea brasiliensis (rubber tree). Lineage: Eukaryota; Viridiplantae; Streptophyta; Magnoliopsida; Malpighiales; Euphorbiaceae. The record is from RNAcentral.